RNAcentral lists this non-coding RNA (119 nucleotides) under Papillibacter cinnamivorans. RNAcentral describes it as "FMN sequence". It matches the Rfam family "FMN riboswitch aptamer (RFN element)". From Rfam's summary of the family: The RFN element is a highly conserved domain that is found frequently in the 5'-untranslated regions of prokaryotic mRNAs that encode for flavin mononucleotide (FMN) biosynthesis and transport proteins. This element is a metabolite-dependent riboswitch that directly binds FMN in the absence of proteins. Lineage: Bacteria; Bacillati; Bacillota; Clostridia; Eubacteriales; Oscillospiraceae. RNAcentral also lists the same sequence under 1 other name. The record is from RNAcentral.
GAAUGUCUUCAGGGCGGGGUGAAAGUCCCCACCGGCGGUAUAGUCCGCGAGCGGCCUCGGCCGCAGAACCGGUUGGAUUCCGGUACCGACAGUUACAGUCUGGAUGAAAGAAGAUGUGU